Molecule: ribosomal RNA, 326 nt
Filed under: uncultured eukaryote
Lineage: Eukaryota
Description: partial 18S ribosomal RNA
Rfam family: Eukaryotic small subunit ribosomal RNA
Source: RNAcentral
CCCUUAGAUGUUCUGGGCCGCACGCGCGCUACACUGAUGCAUUCAACGAGCCUAGCCUUGACCGAGAGGUCCGGGUAAUCUUUGAAACUGCAUCGUGAUGGGGCUAGAUUAUUGCAAUUAUUAAUCUUCAACGAGGAAUGCCUAGUAAGCGUGAUUCAUCAAAUCGCGUUGAUUACGUCCCUGCCCUUUGUACACACCGCCCGUCGCUCCUACCGAUUGAGUGUGUUGGUGAGGAGUUUGGAUUGGCCUCGGAAGGUGGUUCGCCACCGUCCGUAGCUGAGAAGUUCUCCAAACCGCCCCACUUAGAGGAAGGAGAAGCCGUAACA